RNAcentral lists this unclassified non-coding RNA (201 nucleotides) under plant metagenome. RNAcentral's name for it is "partial contains small subunit ribosomal RNA, internal transcribed spacer 1, and 5.8S ribosomal RNA". The record is from RNAcentral.
UCUCCGUUGGUGAACCAGCGGAGGGAUCACUAUCGAGUUUAUAACUCCCAAACCCUAUGUGAACUUACCACUUGUUGCUUCGGCGCGCGCUUCGGCGCCGCCGAGGACACUUAAACUCUUUGUUUUUAUAAGCAUUUCUGAGUGGCCGAAAGGCAAAAUACAAAUGAAUCAAAACUUUCAACAACGGAUCUCUUGGUUCUG